UACGAAGGGGGCUAGCGUUGUUCGGAUUUACUGGGCGUAAAGCGCACGUAGGCGGACUAUUAAGUCAGGGGUGAAAUCCCGGGGCUCAACCCCGGAACUGCCUUUGAUACUGGUAGUCUUGAGUUCGAGAGAGGUGAGUGGAAUUCCGAGUGUAGAGGUGAAAUUCGUAGAUAUUCGGAGGAACACCAGUGGCGAAGGCGGCUCACUGGCUCGAUACUAACGCUGAGGUGCGAAAGCGUGGGGAGCAAACAGG
RNAcentral lists this ribosomal RNA (253 nucleotides) under uncultured bacterium. RNAcentral's name for it is "partial 16S ribosomal RNA". It matches the Rfam family "Bacterial small subunit ribosomal RNA", at positions 524 to 776 of the family's 1533-position model. The record is from RNAcentral.